CACAUAUAUGCAUACUACCAUCAUCUCCGAACCAUACCAUAAAUACAACGAUGCACUAAGCAUUGGACCAUGACUUAGUCACUUCAACUUUACAGCCCUGCACGGCCACGGCUCUUGUUCUCCUACUAUUGUAGAAAGGCAUUCUUCCAUAACGUAACCUUGCUAAUAUGACAACAACUUGAUGAGUCUAUUGACUUGGAUUCUUUCGUUGCUGAAUACAAUUUUAGUAUUAUUCUGCACAGUAAUAGAACGACCAAUUUUGCUAGCUUAAUUUGAAGAUCAGAGCACUAAAAACGAGUAUAAUGAAUUCAAUGACCAAACCUGCUGUUUUUGUAUGUGCUGUCUUCUUUACCUUUUUUAGUAUAUCGAAAUAACAACUUUUUUUUUAGUACCCUCUUCGUUCACUUUUAGUUGUUCACUUUUGACUUUGCACACCCUUUAAAGAAAUAUAUAUGAAGUAUGUAUUUUAUAAUUUUACCCAUAAUAAUGAUAGCAUUUCCAAAAGUUUUGGGAGAUAAUUUGCAAAUCACGCCACGAGAAACGGAUUCGCAACAUGCUUAUUUUAAUUAUUUGAAAUUAUGGUCAAGUCACGUGAAACGCGCACUCGAAUUGGAGAUUGCGUAUCAUGACUAUGCUACGGAACCGUAUCCAUAAUUACGAUUAUCUUAUGAAGACGCGCUUAAAGCGACUAACGUGUUUGUGAGUUAUUUGAACUAAACUUUGGGAUUAUUAUGCAACCCUAUUACAUGAGCAUGUACAUGCUUUCUUCUAAGAAUCCAAACCAAGCCUACAGUCCCUUAAAGCUAACAAAUAAUAGUCCAUUACCAAAAUCUAAUUAGCAUCAUUUUGUCGGUCACAACACAUACGCCUAUAUCAGAACCCAUGUUCAAAUUAGCUCAUAGACAUCAAUUGGCAGACAUGAAUUCUUUUCUAAAUUCAAUAUAUUUCAAAUUAUUUUAUUUCAAACUCAACAAAUCAAACAGCCCCUUCCUACUACAUAUUACUACAAAUUCAUAAGAAAAACAAAAAUAUUCAUCUACCCCCUAAAAAUUUACAAACGGAUUCACUGUAUGUCAUGAGCACACCAAAUAUGAACUUAAAAAUUAGUAGUUAAUUAGUAAUAUUCUCAACAAGACAAGUUAGCUAAAUGAUCAUGAGCUAAUCUCCAUUAAACAAAUAAAGACAAAAUUCUCGUCUAGAGGCAUAGAGUAAACAGAGAACUUCUCCAAACAUUAUUCAAACAUAAACAAAGUAAGAUAUGAAAAUCAAAAGAUAAAAUAAAAUGGAUAGAGUUAGAAUGGGACCUUUAAAACGCGAACGCUAGCAGAGCCACUAAUCUAAACUUGAAAGCAGACCGGACCACCGAACGGAGUUUGACAAACUCAACUGACCUCGCCGAAACUCGAUUUUUGAAGUGAGUAAAGGCUAUUUUGAAGCUGUUUUGGGGUUGUAUUGGACGGGUUUUAUGGCUGUUUUGACGAGGUAUUUCAACUGAUUUUCUGGCAGCGUUUUUGGAGUGUUAAAGGGUCGUUUUGGGGCUGGUUUUGUGGUGGUUUCACGAGCUGGGUUUUGACAGCAUUUUGAGGUCGUGUUUGACUAAAAAAUGAAGCUGCCUUCUAGCUUGUUUUCAGCUGAAAGUGAAGUACUUUUGGGAGUUAUUUCAACUAGGUUUGGCUUGGUGUUCAUGGUGAUAGAGCUUAGUGGAGUUUCAUCGAUGGGUUGAUUAAGUUUUUGAGGAAGAAGAAGCCUCUGCUGUUGAAGGAGGAGUAGACCAGUCCCUUUUUUUUUUU
Molecule: long non-coding RNA, 1790 nt
Filed under: Nicotiana tabacum (common tobacco)
Lineage: Eukaryota; Viridiplantae; Streptophyta; Magnoliopsida; Solanales; Solanaceae
Description: long non-coding RNA (NTAB_LNC011012)
Source: RNAcentral